Molecule: ribosomal RNA, 405 nt
Filed under: uncultured bacterium
Lineage: Bacteria
Description: bacterial SSU rRNA
Rfam family: Bacterial small subunit ribosomal RNA
Source: RNAcentral
AAUGGGCGGAAGCCUGAACCAGCCAUGCCGCGUGCAGGAAGACGGCCCUACGGGUUGUAAACUGCUUUUCUGCGGGAAGAACGGCCCCCACGGGUGGGGGUGUGACGGUACCGCAGGAAUAAGGAUCGGCUAACUCCGUGCCAGCAGCCGCGGUAAUACGGAGGAUCCGAGCGUUAUCCGGAUUUACUGGGUUUAAAGGGUGCGUAGGCUGUUCGCUAAGUCAGCGGUGAAAUGGCGCGGCUCAACCGUGCAGCUGCCGUUGAAACUGGCGGGCUUGAGUGGGUUCGAGGCAGGCGGAAUGCGCGGUGUAGCGGUGAAAUGCAUAGGUAUCGCGCAGAACGCCAAUAGCGUAGGCAGCUUGCCAGGCCCCAACUGACGCUGAGGCACGAAAGCGUGGGGAUCAAA